This 484-nucleotide ribosomal RNA is filed under the name uncultured bacterium. Its description in RNAcentral is "partial 16S ribosomal RNA". It matches the Rfam family "Bacterial small subunit ribosomal RNA", at positions 28 to 523 of the family's 1533-position model. The record is from RNAcentral.
GAUGAACGCUGGCGGCGUGCUUAACACAUGCAAGUCGAACGGUGAAGCAGGAGCUUGCUCUUGUGGAUCAGUGGCGAACGGGUGAGUAACACGUGAGCAACCUGCCCCUGACUCUGGGAUAAGCGCUGGAAACGGCGUCUAAUACUGGAUAUGUGAUGUGACCGCAGGGUCUGCAGCUGGAAAGAAUUUCGGUUGGGGAUGGGCUCGCGGCCUAUCAGCUUGUUGGCGAGGUAAUGGCUCACCAAGGCGUCGACGGGUAGCCGGCCUGAGAGGGUGACCGGCCACACUGGGACUGAGACACGGCCCAGACUCCUACGGGAGGCAGCAGUGGGGAAUAUUGCACAAUGGGCGGAAGCCUGAUGCAGCAACGCCGCGUGAGGGAUGACGGCCUUCGGGUUGUAAACCUCUUUUAGCAGGGAAGAAGCGAAAGUGACGGUACCUGCAGAAAAAGCACCGGCUAACCACGUGCCAGCCGCCGCCGUAA